UGGGAGCUGUAGUACGCUCCCUGUGCCCACUUUCCUGGGCCGGGGUAGCGCUCUAGGGCAGAAGGGUAAACUCAGACACAAGGAGGGCUCUUAGAAAUGUGUGAGGAGACUGGUGAUCAGGCAAGGAUAUUAAAGGAAGAGAAUGUGGGGCUGAGAAAAGUUAUCUAUUGCUCAAUUGGACCUCUCCAGUUUCUGUGAGACAAUGUCCUUUCUAUGCACCUUGGGAGAAGAAAGAGAAUCACUGCUCCAUGCAACUAUUCAAAGACCCAAGCUUCUUCCAUCACAUGAUUCUACCAUCUUUUAGGAAUUUGUCUUUUUUUGCAUUUAACCAGAGUAGGAAAAGGAUGAGGAGAGGAGACAGAGAGGAUUGUGUGGGGGACAUUUUAUAGGUCAGGCCUGGAGAUGACAGCGUGACUUCCAUCUGUUUUGUUGUCCAACUGAGCCAUGUGGCCAUAUUUAACUGCAAAAGAGUUUGGGAGAUGUGGUCUAACUGCAGAUCUAGAUAAAGAAGAAACAGAUUUAUUGAACAUGUGGGCAGACUGCCACAACUGGGGACAAAUUAAGUGACAGGCAUGCCUUACUCAGAAUUACUUUUCCCAGUUGACCAUAGAGGCUAUGUUACUGUUGGGAAAAAAAACAAAACAAACAAAAAAACUCCCUGUGGAUAGCAUCUUCUGAGAAGAGGCACUGACAACACUCUGGGUUAUCUUUUCAUGGAUGUUUAUAUUACAAACGGCAUUGGAAGAUGGAAAUAGUGUCUCCCUUUGGAGCAGAGGGCAGUUUGGUGUCCAGGUUAACAAAGAUAUUAUCUCUCUCUGGGAAAAAGUUUAGACAGGUUUGCUUACAAACCUUGUUUAGAUUGAAGUUUCCUAAGUUUGAGGUUUCUUAGGUGUGACCCUAAACCAUAAUAUGCUCAGCAUCCAUGUGCGCCCAGCCCUUGCCCCACAAUCCUUGGUAGGCAAGAAGAACCAACAGAAACAUAAAACCUAUGCUGCCUGCUGUGGUACCAGUCACAAAAUCCUUUUCUUUUGCCUAGACAUUCUGUGUCUUCUGGAAGCACACAUGAAACAGUGCCAGGCUAACCUGUUAGCUUGCAAGUAAAGCCUCAGACCCAUUACAGUUUUUGAGAGUUACCAGUUCAAGUUUAUCAUGGUCAGCAUUUAGUAAAUGUCUCUGGCUAGCCAAACAUUUUUAGCUUUCCAGGAUCCCAAGUAGCAGGCUUAAACUGACAUUUCAUCUUUGGUUAAAUGAAAUAAGUGAUAACAGUGUAAAUUUUGUAGCCCCCAGGCAUAUGUAACAUAAUACCAAGGCCUCCACAUUGUACAACUCCGGGUGCUCUGUUCAUAUCAUAGUCUAUGAAUAUGAAAUAUAGCUGCUCUAACUAUUAUAAGAUUUCAUCAUAUCUAACACCCUUAAUAGUAGAACACACCUUUACUUUAGGUGUAACAGAAAUAA
This 1455-nucleotide long non-coding RNA is filed under the name Homo sapiens (human). RNAcentral describes it as "HSALNT0334140". Lineage: Eukaryota; Metazoa; Chordata; Mammalia; Primates; Hominidae. The record is from RNAcentral.